UACAGAGGGGGCAAGCGUUGUUCGGAAUUACUGGGCGUAAAGGGCGCGUAGGCGGUUCGUUAAGUCCUGUGUGAAAUCCCCCGGCUCAACUGGGGAACUGCACAGGAAACUAGCGGGCUUGAGUUCGGGAGAGGGAAGCGGAAUUCCGGGUGUAGCGGUGAAAUGCGUAGAUAUCCGGAGGAACACCGGUGGCGAAGGCGGCUUCCUGGACCGACACUGACGCUGAGGCGCGAAAGCGUGGGGAUCAAACAGG
RNAcentral lists this ribosomal RNA (253 nucleotides) under uncultured bacterium. RNAcentral's name for it is "partial 16S ribosomal RNA". It matches the Rfam family "Bacterial small subunit ribosomal RNA", at positions 524 to 776 of the family's 1533-position model. The record is from RNAcentral.